UAAAAGAUAAGCUAAAAAAGCUAUUGGGUUCAUACCCCAGUUAUAAAGGCUCAAAUCCUUUUCUUUUUA
RNAcentral lists this transfer RNA (69 nucleotides) under Cucujoidea sp. 1 KM-2017. RNAcentral's name for it is "tRNA-Met". It matches the Rfam family "tRNA". Rfam says of the family: Transfer RNA (tRNA) molecules are approximately 80 nucleotides in length. Their secondary structure includes four short double-helical elements and three loops (D, anti-codon, and T loops). The record is from RNAcentral. Lineage: Eukaryota; Metazoa; Arthropoda; Insecta; Coleoptera.